RNAcentral lists this ribosomal RNA (760 nucleotides) under uncultured bacterium. RNAcentral's name for it is "bacterial SSU rRNA". It matches the Rfam family "Bacterial small subunit ribosomal RNA", at positions 8 to 796 of the family's 1533-position model. The record is from RNAcentral.
AGAGUUUGAUCCUGGCUCAGGAUAAACGCUGGCGGCGUGCCUAAUGCAUGCAAGUCGAUCGGGAGCUCCUUUGGGAGCCGACCGAGGCGGACGGGUGAGGAGCGCGUAACCUGCCCUGAUGUGGGGGAUAUCCACCGGAAACGGUGAGCAAUACCGCAUGAGGCGCCUGGGUAGCCCUGGGUCGUCAAAGGAACUUCGGUUCUGCAUCAGGAGGGGGCUGCGUCCGAUUAGCUAGUUGGUGGGGUAAUGGCCUACCAAGGCGAUGAUCGGUCGCUGGUCUGAGAGGACGGCCGGCCACACGGGGACUGAGACACGGCCCCGACUCCUGCGGGAGGAGCAGCAAGGAAUUUUCCGCAAUGGGCGAAAGCCUGACGGAGCAACGCCGCGUGGGGGAUGACGCGUUUCGGCGUGUAAACCCCUUUUCGAGGGGACGAAGCAAGUGACGGUACCCUCGGAAUAAGGACCGGCUAACUACGUGCCAGCAGCCGCGGUAAGACGUAGGGCCAAGCGUUGUCCGGAGUUCUGGGGUAAAGCGCGGCAGGCGGUUGGUCGCAUCGGUGGUGAAAGCCCCCCGCUUAACGGGGGAGGGUCCAUCGAGAUGGGCCGCUGGAGGCAGGGAGAGGCGAGUGGAAUUCCGGGUGUAGUGGUGAAAUGCGUAGAGAUCCGGAGGAACACCAGCGGCGAAGGCGGCUCGCUGGACCUGACCUGCGCUGANNNNGAAGGCGCGGGGAGCGAACGGGAUUAGAUACCCUAGUAGUCC